GUCCCCGUAGUUGAAUGGAUACAACAACCCCCUCCUAAGGGGUAGGUCUGGGUUCGAUUCCCGGCGGGGGCA
RNAcentral lists this transfer RNA (72 nucleotides) under Rhodocyclaceae bacterium. RNAcentral describes it as "tRNA-Arg". It matches the Rfam family "tRNA". Rfam says of the family: Transfer RNA (tRNA) molecules are approximately 80 nucleotides in length. Their secondary structure includes four short double-helical elements and three loops (D, anti-codon, and T loops). The record is from RNAcentral. Lineage: Bacteria; Pseudomonadati; Pseudomonadota; Betaproteobacteria; Rhodocyclales; Rhodocyclaceae.